RNAcentral lists this ribosomal RNA (556 nucleotides) under uncultured Pseudomonadota bacterium. RNAcentral describes it as "bacterial SSU rRNA". It matches the Rfam family "Bacterial small subunit ribosomal RNA", at positions 134 to 685 of the family's 1533-position model. Lineage: Bacteria; Pseudomonadati; Pseudomonadota. The record is from RNAcentral.
UGGAGGGGGAUAACUACUGGAAACGGUAGCUAAUACCGCAUAACGUCGCAAGACCAAAGAGGGGGACCUUCGGGCCUCUUGCCAUCGGAUGUGCCCAGAUGGGAUUAGCUAGUAGGUGGGGUAACGGCUCACCUAGGCGACGAUCCCUAGCUGGUCUGAGAGGAUGACCAGCCACACUGGAACUGAGACACGGUCCAGACUCCUACGGGAGGCAGCAGUGGGGAAUAUUGCACAAUGGGCGCAAGCCUGAUGCAGCCAUGCCGCGUGUAUGAAGAAGGCCUUCGGGUUGUAAAGUACUUUCAGCGGGGAGGAAGGGAGUAAAGUUAAUACCUUUGCUCAUUGACGUUACCCGCAGAAGAAGCACCGGCUAACUCCGUGCCAGCAGCCGCGGUAAUACGGAGGGUGCAAGCGUUAAUCGGAAUUACUGGGCGUAAAGCGCACGCAGGCGGUUUGUUAAGUCAGAUGUGAAAUCCCCGGGCUCAACCUGGGAACUGCAUCUGAUACUGGCAAGCUUGAGUCUCGUAGAGGGGGGUAGAAUUCCAGGUGUAGCGGUGAA